RNAcentral lists this long non-coding RNA (948 nucleotides) under Vigna radiata. RNAcentral describes it as "long non-coding RNA (VRAD_LNC015973)". Lineage: Eukaryota; Viridiplantae; Streptophyta; Magnoliopsida; Fabales; Fabaceae. The record is from RNAcentral.
UUAGGUCUUUAUUUUUAUCAAUUAAGUCCUUAUUUUUAUUAAUUUGAUACAAACAAAUUCUUUCCGUCAAUUUUAUCAAAUGGUGUUAAUGAAUGUGUGACGUGGCAUGGUGACACUAUAGUUUUAAUACACGUGUCAAAAAAAUAUUUUUAAAUUGGAUUUUUGAAUUUUAGAAUUAAAGAAUUAAAUAAAUAUAUAUUGAACUAUCCAGUUGAAUCACUCGAUUAGUAAUUCAAUUUUUUUGAGUUUCUAUCCAAACCCAAUUACCAACCAUGCCACUUAACCCUACUACAAAGAAUGAACAUUGAACUUCAAGUGCAAGAUUAAGUUAACACUCUCCUCCACUGUAGUUGUGCAAAAAUUCCCUGGUCUAAAAAUUACGUCAAUGUUCCUUUGUUGCAUAAAAAUCCCAAACAGCAGAUCAUGAGGCCUCCUUCUCCUUCAUCUUCCUUAACAUAAAAAUCCCAAAUAACAUAGAAAUCCAGUUCGCGUUGCCCAGAACGCCAGUUCUUUAUGCGGCCACUGUCAAUGCCGCAAAUCGUAACAAGUCGCGCCGCUGCUUCCCGCGCACCAGCCUAAAUCGCCAUCAAGCCGCAAGCAGCGUAGUUCAACCUCCUCUACGAGCAGCCUCUUUUUUCUCUCACGCAACCCAGUUCAUCCCCAUCAACACGCACCUACAGCAACCAAAACCCCAUAAUCGUGCAUCUCCUUCUCGCGCAAGAGUUUGAAGCCAAGUUUGCUUGCCCUUCCGUCCUCGCAAACAUUCAACAAUCGAAUCUCCACCUGAAAACCAAAGAAAAACCAAAACAACACCCAACAAACAGAGACCCCUAACCUGCAACCAAUCAAAGCACCAUGACCAUCACCGAAACGACACAGGAGCAAAGGGGGAAGCCUUUUCCCAGUCUGAAAACCUAAUUGGGAAAGAAAGGGCUGCCACUUUUCCCC